Molecule: non-coding RNA, 141 nt
Organism: Triticum urartu
Lineage: Eukaryota; Viridiplantae; Streptophyta; Magnoliopsida; Poales; Poaceae
Source: Rfam
GUUCUACUCCCUUCGUCCGAAAAAACUCGUCCCUUAAAUGUUAAAUGGAUGUAUCUAGCAUCAAGUCAGUGCUAGAUACAUCCAUUUCAUCAUUUGAGGCACAAGCUUGAGGCAAGUUUUUUCGGAUGGAGAGAGUAUUUA